RNAcentral lists this transfer RNA (76 nucleotides) under Hymenobacter sp. RNAcentral describes it as "tRNA-Thr". It matches the Rfam family "tRNA". From Rfam's summary of the family: Transfer RNA (tRNA) molecules are approximately 80 nucleotides in length. Their secondary structure includes four short double-helical elements and three loops (D, anti-codon, and T loops). The record is from RNAcentral. Lineage: Bacteria; Pseudomonadati; Bacteroidota; Cytophagia; Cytophagales; Hymenobacteraceae.
GCCUCCAUAGCUCAGUUGGUAGAGCUUCUGACUUGUAAUCAGAGGGUCGUUGGUUCGAGUCCGACUGGGGGCUCCC